CCUACGGGUGGCAGCAGUGGGGAAUAUUGCACAAUGGGGGAAACCCUGAUGCAGCGACGCCGCGUGAGCGAUGAAGUACUUCGGUAUGUAAAGCCCUAUCAGCAGGGAAGAAAAUGACGGUACCUGACUCAGAAGCCACGGCUAACUACGUGCCAGCAGCCGCGGGAAUACGUCGGGGGCAAGCGUUAACCGGAUUUACUGGGUGUAAAGGGAGCGUAGACGGUCCUGCAAGCCAGAUGUGAAAGCCAGGGGCUCAACCCCGGGACUGCAUUUGGAACUGUAAGGCUAGAGUGUCGGAGAGGCAGGCGGAAUUCCUAGUGUAGCGGUGAAAUGCGUAGAUAUUAGGAGGAACACCAGUGGCGAAGGCGGCCUGCUGGACGAUGACUGACGUUGAGGCUCGAAAGCGUGGGGAGCAAACAGGAUUAGAUACCCUUGUAGUC
RNAcentral lists this ribosomal RNA (440 nucleotides) under uncultured bacterium. RNAcentral describes it as "partial 16S ribosomal RNA". It matches the Rfam family "Bacterial small subunit ribosomal RNA", at positions 338 to 795 of the family's 1533-position model. The record is from RNAcentral.